GACGAACGCUGGCGGCGUGCCUAAUACAUGCAAGUAGAACGCACGGUUUAUACCGUAGCUUGCUACACCAUAGACUGUGAGUUGCGAACGGGUGAGUAACGCGUAGGUAACCUGCCUGGUAGCGGGGGAUAACUAUUGGAAACGAUAGCUAAUACCGCAUAAUAUUAAUUAUUGCAUGAUAAUUAAUUGAAAGGUGCAAUUGCACCACUACCAGAUGGACCUGCGUUGUAUUAGCUAGUAGGUGAGGUAACGGCUCACCUAGGCGACGAUACAUAGCCGACCUGAGAGGGUGAUCGGCCACACUGGGACUGAGACACGGCCCAGACUCCUACGGGAGGCAGCAGUAGGGAAUCUUCGGCAAUGGACGAAAGUCUGACCGAGCAACGCCGCGUGAGUGAAGAAGGUUUUCGGAUCGUAAAGCUCUGUUGUAAGAGAAGAACGGGUGUGAGAGUGGAAGGUUCACACUGUGACGGUAUCUUACCAGAAAGGGACGGCUAACUACGUG
This 505-nucleotide ribosomal RNA is filed under the name uncultured bacterium. Its description in RNAcentral is "partial 16S ribosomal RNA". It matches the Rfam family "Bacterial small subunit ribosomal RNA", at positions 28 to 507 of the family's 1533-position model. The record is from RNAcentral.